UGCAGUCGAGCGGACAGAUGGGAGCUUGCUCCCUGAUGUUAGCGGCGGACGGGUGAGUAACACGUGGGUAACCUGCCUGUAAGACUGGGAUAACUCCGGGAAACCGGGGCUAAUACCGGAUGCUUGUUUGAACCGCAUGGUUCAGACAUAAAAGGUGGCUUCGGCUACCACUUACAGAUGGACCCGCGGCGCAUUAGCUAGUUGGUGAGGUAACGGCUCACCAAGGCGACGAUGCGUAGCCGACCUGAGAGGGUGAUCGGCCACACUGGGACUGAGACACGGCCCAGACUCCUACGGGAGGCAGCAGUAGGGAAUCUUCCGCAAUGGACGAAAGUCUGACGGAGCAACGCCGCGUGAGUGAUGAAGGUUUUCGGAUCGUAAAGCUCUGUUGUUAGGGAAGAACAAGUGCCGUUCAAAUAGGGCGGCACCUUGACGGUACCUAACCAGAAAGCCACGGCUAACUACGUGCCAGCAGCCGCGGUAAUACGUAGGUGGCAAGCGUUGUCCGGAAUUAUUGGGCGUAAAGGGCUCGCAGGCGGUUUCUUAAGUCUGAUGUGAAAGCCCCCGGCUCAACCGGGGAGGGUCAUUGGAAACUGGGGAACUUGAGUGCAGAAGAGGAGAGUGGAAUUCCACGUGUAGCGGUGAAAUGCGUAGAGAUGUGGAGGAACACCAGUGGCGAAGGCGACUCUCUGGUCUGUAACUGACGCUGAGGAGCGAAAGCGUGGGGAGCGAACAGGAUUAGAUACCCUGGUAGUCCACGCCGUAAACGAUGAGUGCUAAGUGUUAGGGGGUUUCCGCCCCUUAGUGCUGCAGCUAACGCAUUAAGCACUCCGCCUGGGGAGUACGGUCGCAAGACUGAAACUCAAAGGAAUUGACGGGGGCCCGCACAAGCGGUGGAGCAUGUGGUUUAAUUCGAAGCAACGCGAAGAACCUUACCAGGUCUUGACAUCCUCUGACAAUCCUAGAGAUAGGACGUCCCCUUCGGGGGCAGAGUGACAGGUGGUGCAUGGUUGUCGUCAGCUCGUGUCGUGAGAUGUUGGGUUAAGUCCCGCAACGAGCGCAACCCUUGAUCUUAGUUGCCAGCAUUCAGUUGGGC
RNAcentral lists this ribosomal RNA (1096 nucleotides) under Bacillus amyloliquefaciens. RNAcentral describes it as "bacterial SSU rRNA". It matches the Rfam family "Bacterial small subunit ribosomal RNA", at positions 56 to 1136 of the family's 1533-position model. The record is from RNAcentral. Lineage: Bacteria; Bacillati; Bacillota; Bacilli; Caryophanales; Bacillaceae.